CCUACGGGUGGCUGCAGUGGGGGAUAUUGCACAAUGGGGGGAACCCUGAUGCAGCGACGCCGCGUGGGUGAAGAAGCGCCUCGGCGCGUAAAGCUCUGUCAGCAGGGAAGAAAAUGACGGUACCUGAAGAAGAAGCCACGGCUAACUACGUGCCAGCAGCCGCGGUAAUACGGAGGGGGCGAGCGUUAUCCGGAUUUACUGGGUGUAAAGGGAGCGUAGACGGGUCUGCAAGUCUGAAGUGAAAGCCCGUGGCUUAACCGCGGAACGGCUUUGGAAACUGUGGAACUGGAGUGCUGGAGAGGCAAGCGGAAUUCCUAGUGUAGCGGUGAAAUGCGUAGAUAUUAGGAGGAACACCGGUGGCGAAGGCGGCUUGCUGGACAGUAACUGACGUUGAGGCUCGAAAGCGUGGGGAGCAAACAGGAUUAGAUACCCGUGUAGUC
RNAcentral lists this ribosomal RNA (440 nucleotides) under uncultured bacterium. Its description in RNAcentral is "partial 16S ribosomal RNA". It matches the Rfam family "Bacterial small subunit ribosomal RNA", at positions 338 to 795 of the family's 1533-position model. The record is from RNAcentral.